UCACAUUUCAUAGCCAGUUUUCACUAUUAGCCAGGCUUUGUUAUAACGAAGUACGAACUCGUUUAUACAUCGUUCUCAUUCCGCGUUACUUUCUACGAAUAAUUGGAUCACUCGUCUAUGUAUGUGUAGAAAUAAAUUAACUUCACUGUCUUUAACAAGAUCUUGGCUAGUAUCGAUGGAAGUUCAUAUGAAUAGAGAGUUCCCAGAAUAUACGGCCCUGGCCUUGCACUCUGUCACGCAGGUACUUUUCGACUGAAAGCAAGGACUUCCACUUCGCUGUACCUCCUCCUACUCUUCGAGAUAACGUUCCAGAAGAGCUAACGAGCACAGUUUCGAGCUCGUGCACUCGCUCAAGCCGACAAGUGAGCAUACACAGUAUGAAGUAUACCUGUACGAGCUACAGGCAUCAAAGGAAGAGAAACUCGCUUGCGUCCCUGAGAUACACGGCGAACGUGAGAAAGGUUUCUCCGUACAUCCUGCUUACACUUUGUGAACACAUGAAAUUCCUAUAUCUGCAGCCCUGCAAUUCCACGGAGGUUCUCUCUUAUGGUGUAUGCACUCGCACACCAUCGAACUUUACCUAUCGUCUACCGCAGAAACUGAAUCGAAUGUUCGAAAUCGAAUCGAAUAUUCAAAGAUGCUUCGAAUACCACAUCUUCCAGCUUUCCCUAUCAAUCGAGUCUCUGGCAUUAAGGCGAUUCAUCGUGAAGUUGUUCCCAUGCACGAAGUCCCAUGAAGCGUUUUCGUGAUGGAGAAGCAUCGUUGGCUUCCCUCUUGCAAUCGCUAUCGUAUGAUCCUACCAACGAUCCAGAUCGGUUCAAUCCGCUCAAGAACGUUAACUUAAUCGGAGCUUAUCUCUACGACUCUAGUAAUACGAUUCUCAUUCGAAUCACCCAAGGGAAUGAGACCUCGAACAAUUUUUGUCUCUUUAUAUUUCGAUAUUGUUAUUUAUUUAUAGGAAAGGGAAACGGUAUUCCAUAUAGAAAGUCUUCAACAAAAUAAGUAUCUUUACUAAUCAUGUGUCCAGAAUAAGAAUCAAGAUAAAAGUUCAUCAUGUUCGUCGAUGUAAAUGUGAAAAGUGUAACUUUCGAAUCUUGUAUAAAACAUCAAAUGUGUAUAAAUCAUAUCGUAGAAAUUGUUACUUGUUAAUAUGUUCAUGAUUUUGUAAUAAUGUUUUCUUUUCUUCUAAACGAAUGCGAACAAACUACUUCAGUCAGAUGAUUUUAAUAUUUGAAAAAUAGCCAUACAAAAGACUAUAUAAAAAAAAAAAAAAACUAUAUAUUAUUCACUAUCUAUAAUACAAACGCAAAUACAGCCAUUAUCAAUUGCUAGUCUAACUUCUCGUUAACGUAAUACUAAUAGCUUUAAACGGUAAAAAUAUUUAAAGUAGAAUGAAGUAGGAAGCGAUUUUUACGUAAUUAUAUAAAGAAAACUAUCCUAGAAACAUUUCAAAUGGGGGACUACUUGGGACACAAAAGAUAUUCCUUGUUAAAGUUAAAGAACAUUGAAAAUUACUUGUGUUUCAUUAAAUAUUAUGUACAGUAAUCGUAUUUAGAAACUGUUG
This is an unclassified non-coding RNA of Vespa mandarinia (Asian giant hornet), 1564 nucleotides long. The record is from RefSeq and is a predicted model, not a curated record. Lineage: Eukaryota; Metazoa; Arthropoda; Insecta; Hymenoptera; Vespidae.